CAAGACCUCAUAAACUGAACGAGUGUCUUUAAUCCCUCCAUUAAUCUAUCAACCACGAUCUGGAUGCAAUGCGAUAUUUGAUGUCCGAUGCGUUUGAGACGACUAUAAGAAGGUAUCUUCUGUUCUUCUCAGAUACUACAUCACUUUCGUUCUAAAUUCUUCUGAAAAAAAAAAGCCGGUGCUAUGGCUAACGUUUUGGUUCUCCUCUCCGAUCUCCAGUCUGGUGGCUCCUCCUCCACCGUCGAAGUGCGCUUGCUUCGCUUCUGGGAGGCUAGAAACGUCUGCCGUGGUGGAGAACUCAUGGGCGUCGACAUGCUCUUGCUCGACUCUCAGGUUAUGUUUUAGAUCUGCCAUUGGUUUUGUUUUUCCGAUAGAAUCUGUACACGUACCCGCCCUCUCGAAUCCAUAUUAAAAGCACGGCGAUCAAAUUUUUAGUUCUUGCUGAUUAUGAUCUAAAUAUUUAAUUAAUCGUUUCACAACUUCACUGCCUUGAGUUUACAUUUGUUAGAUUUAUUGAUGUAAGAUUUGCUAGAUAAUUAUAUGAGGUUUGUCAGUUUCUUCACGUCGGCUUUUAUUGAUAAUUUUAUAAGAUUUGUUGGAUAAUAAUUUUUAGUUUUCGCUGAUUAUGAUUUAAAUAUUUAAUUACUCGGUUCACAACUCCACUGCCUUGAGUUUACAUUUGUUAGAUUUAUAGAUGUAAUAUUUGUUAGAUAAUUAUAUGAGGUUUGUCAGUUUCUUCACGUCGGCUUUUAUUGAUAAUUGUAUAAGAUUUGUUAGAUAAUUAUAUGAUAUUUGUUAGAUGUCCUCGCGUCAGAUUUGAUAGAUAUUUAUAUGUUAAAUCGAUUCUGUGGCGCUUUCGUUCUGCUCACCGUUUUUUUGUUAAUCAUAGUUGUGUUUUGUUUCAUUUUCAGUCAACCAUGAUGCCGGCUACCGUUAAUGUUAACCGAUUUUGAAGUCACACGUUGUAACCAGAAUUAUCGCCUGUCAGACUCUUCUCUACUAAUCCGGUUUACCGACUCCACCUCUUUCAAGAAGGUCGCCGAACCAGCCGUUCCGAUACCUCUUGAAUCAUUCCUGUUCCGUAACUACAGUGAGAUGCUUGGUCUUGCUAACUCCAACAAUCAAUUACCGGGUAAUGCUCCUCUUAUUAUCUCUUCUGAUUACAUAUAUAAGGAUAUCUGAUAGUCUUUUGCUCACAAAUCUUAUUGGUGAGAUUACUGCUGUCAAGAGUACGGUCACUGACCCUCCUCAGGACAAUAAUCGUGUCAUGGCGACCAUUAGGAUGGAGAAGUAAGUUUUUAUGAGCUUCAGUAUCUUCACAGUUGUUUUGUAUUUCCUAAAUACGUUCAUCUUACUGUUCUGCCUUCCAAUGAUGCAGUGACACAUCUGUGACUAUGAGCCUCUUUGACGCUCAGGCUGUUAAGAUUCAUAAUCAGCUGGAGCAGAUGGGAGUGGAUCCAAGGGUUGUCGUUGCAACCAGUGUGAACCCGAAGAUUGUGGGAGGUAAGCAACCAGUGUGAUACAAACAUGUCUAGCCCUGAAAUGAUGUCGAUAUCAUUCAUACUCGACUUAUAAUGCAGGGCGUCUGUUUUUGAACGCCACAUCCGGCACACACAUCUAUUUCGACAAGCAAACAGAUGCAGGGGAACAAUUGUUUUACAGGUAUCAUUUUGCGUGUCAUUGCUUUUAAACAUCCUGAUUAUAGUAUUUCCGAACUGUGCAUGGGAGUGCCUAAGGACAUUGUUAUCUUCGUAAACAGGUUGGUUGAGCAAGACACUGGGCUCCCGCCAGUAGCUCCGCUGCUAAAGAGUUAUGCUAAGGUGGAGAAGCUGAGUAUAUCUGAGCUCAAUGAUUUUGUCGUCACUGCUACGUCUCAGGUUCGUUAGCAUGAUUGUCAUGUCCUUUAUCAAAUGUGAUUUAUCAUUCCUAAUCCGACUUUAUAACAAUGCAGGAAAUUGAUUUCAUUUGUGCCGGAAAGGUGACUGGAGUCAAAUUGGACAAGGGGUGGUGCUAUGUUUCCUGUUCAAAAUGUUUCAAGAAACUCCAACGGUCUGUCUCAUCUCUCACGUGUCUGUCUUGCAACACCACCAGUGCAGUUGGUUUUUCGGUAUGUACUGACCCUAAGCAGCUUAAUCAUCUACGUUUAACUAACUGUGUGAUUUGAAAAUUUUAUAUGCACUAGAUACCGUGUCGAGAUGUCAAUCGCAGACGAGACUGGUGAGGGUUUGUUUGUUGCCUUUGAUGGAGUUAUUGCGAAGCUCCAUAACAUGAGGGCCCAUGAAGCUGCCAACCUCUUGGCUGGUGAUGAUGUCAACCCCGAAGAAACUGAUGCUCCUCCGUUUGUUCGAGACAUGGAAGGAAAGUCAUACACGUUUCAGGUGAAGGUGGGCCCAUACAAUUUCACAGCAAAUCAUCAAAGCUUUACCAUCUCACGCAUUCUCGGCGAGGGUGAACGUGCGCCACAGCCUGAGUUCGUUGAAGAUGUAUUACUCUUAUAUUCUCCACUACCGUUUCUGCUUUGUAUAAAUUUAACGUUUUCAUUCGAUAGGGUGGUGACGAUGACAAUGGAGAUGACAACAACGGUGCUAGCUUGGUGAGACGUAAGAUGGAGGGUGGUGGAUGUAGCAAGUCCGCAGGACCAUCUGCUAAGUCUAAGAAGGCACGGAAGGCAUAAGUGGGAAGGCAGAUAUCCCUUCUCAAUAAUAAUAAAGUUUUUUUUCUCUUAUGGACAAGUAUGCAUUUGGUAUUUCCGUAUUUAUUAUUUCAUGUUUUGUGAUAGCUUAUAAUUUUAUCUACAAUUAUUAAAAAUCGAAUUAUUUUGCAAAAAUGAUAUUGUUUAUUUUCUUUGGGAAUAAUCCAGCUAGCAUUACAUAACAUCAACUUACAAUAUAAUAUUUUUAUUUGCUUAUUCGUUUUCAUUAUGUGAAUUUAGUAUAUUUGUCCACUUAUUACCUUCAUGGUGAUUAGCAUGUUCCUAUAAAAAAAAUCAAACAAAUAGAUCAUUGUUUUGGCGGUGGUUUCUUUGCGUUACUGAGUUCAUAAAGUACAAGCGCUCCUGACAAUAUAUAUUGUUUAUUUUCUCUUUAUUGACAUUUGAGUUGUUUCUUUGUAACAAGUAUCCAUUACGAAGUUCCCUUCUACUUCGUAUUAUUCGAUUUUAAGUUAUGUGCUAUCUUAUGGCUUUAGCUAUAUUUAUAAAAGAUCUAAUUAUUUUGGCAGAAAUGUUAACAUCAAUCACUUGGUUGAUCACCGAACCGAGAUUGAUAUUGUAAACAUAUGUUCCUUUUUAAUAUUAUAUCUCAUGAGUCAUCUCUAAUCUGACUUUUUUAUGAUGCAAGAAGUUCUUGGGCUCCUUCUGCAAGGUGUAGUUGCUUCCAAAAUUUCUGCUCAACUCUUACCUUGGUCAUAUGCUGGAGGAUAUUUGGAUAUCUUCCUCCAUUCAUUAAGAAACAGCUACUUCUCCAUCUUCAGCCUCAUGAUGCUGCUCAGCUAUCCCAUGUAAGAAUAAGAAAAAUAUGGUAUCUGUCAUCUUUUUAAUGUAGGAGAUGACGAGUCCCACAUCAAAUGGUACUUUAGAAGUUAUAGAAAGCAACAAAAUUGAGUCAAUGCCAAAGUUUUCAUGGUGAGUCUAAUGAAGGUUGUUAUAGCACGGUUGAUAAAUGGUGGUAGGGUCAUGGUGAGGGCAGAGACUGAAUGGCAAGGAGCUGGUGUGGUCACGGCUUGGCAGUGAUGGCUGUAUGACUUAAAAAAAACACAGAUCAAAGCAGAUGAGAGAAGAGAAGGAAUCAUAGGUAAGGAAGAGAAGGGAGAAGAUAGUUUGAAGAUAGGUUUUUGCGUAUACAUAAAGAUAAGUUACUUUUUUGGUUUAGCUGCAAUUUGGUUCAGUAUUUGUUUUUGUCGACUAAUUAUUUGAUAGUAACGUAGAACUAAAAUAAAAGUUCUGCUAGAUAUGUAACUUUAUUAUUAUAAAUGUAUUUAUUUAUGAAAAUAUUUUUAAUUAUUAUAAGACAAAUUUUCAACAGAUAAGAGUACAUAACAAUAUUUUAUGUUGUGUAUGCUUUUUCAAAAUAUAUUAUAUAUAUUUAGACCAAAAACUAUAUAUUAUAUUUUGAAUUUUUACAACCUUAACCAGACGCAAGGUCUAUGUGCAAUGGUACGAGAAUGAUGGUCAUGCUAACAUGGUUCUUGAAGCUGAGAUCAUGACUGGUACAGAGGUUGGUGAUUAUUGAACCUAAAAACAACAAUAAAAACUCGAAUAAUAAUACACUGAAACUGAAUAAUAAAAUUUUAUUAAAAAUACAGGUACAUUCAAUAUAAACAAAAUAAAAAUUAAUCAAUAUUUUGAUUAUUGAACCUAAAAACAACAAUAAAAACUCGAAUAAUACUUACUAUGUAUAAAAAAAUUGAACAAACAUUUAAUAAAUGUAUACCAUUUCAAUCAUUAAAAUCGUAUCAUGUUAAUACAACUUUAUAAUCUCUAAUAAGAAUAAUGAAAAAAUAAAGAAAAAUUUAGACAUAUGCGAAGAUAAUGUAAAAUGUGUUUACAUUAUAAAGAAAUUUAAUAAAAAGAGAAAGAUAAUAACUAAAAUAGUAUUAUGUAAUUAAAAUAUAUUUGAGAACAAAUAAAAAUACAAAAAUAAGCAAACAUCAAACAUUAACUAAAAUAGAUAUAAUAUCCUUCAUCACUUAAAAUGUCAUAUUCGCCUAAAACACUAAAACACAACCACCAAAACAAAAAAAAAUAAAUACUAUUAUACACAUCUCUUGCAAAUUCAAACUUAAAACACUAACCACCAAAUCAAACAAAAAAUAAAAAUCGAAAUCACAAAUAAAGUAUACCCCGCCCGUAGGGCGGGCCUAUCCUAGUAACCCAUAAGAGGAUUAGAUUUCCCUUAUCCCCCAUUAUGUGAUUGGGAAAUGUAGAGUAAAUAAAUGGGAAAGAAUAUAGUAAAAAAGAGAGGAAAAAUAAAACUGAGAGGGAGAGUAAACUAGAGUAAAUACAUUUACUUUUGCUUGAGUUGGAGUAAAUUUAUUAGUGUGUUUUACUCUCUUUUAAAUUUUUAACAGUAACUACAGAUAAGAGGAAGAAAGAUGUUUUUACUUGAUUGGUAAGAUUUUGGAGUAAGUAGGAGGAGUAACUGAUAUUUUCUUUCCAUAAAUAGUCAAAGGGGUUUAACCAAAAAAAAAAAAGCCCAAGGGGAAGGAUCAAGAAAAGUCAACGAGUGCACAUAUAAACAAGAACGUACUAACUAACGUAUGUUAACAUUAAUUUGACAUUUUUCCGUUGAACAAAGAGCGAAGAUAACUAGAAGUCCUUUAAAAUUCACCCGUGUCCCGUAAACUUUGUUAGUAUAAUUGGUUGUAAAACUUUUGAAAAUAUAUAUCUUCCAUUAAAAAGAAAAAAAAAAGAUAACUCGAUCUCUUUAGUUAAGAUGGAAAAUAGUGUAUUUUCAGCGUUAGUUUGUGCUCUGUGACAUGGAAACGACAUUGCAUUUAACAUCAUUUAUCAUAUUAGGGCAUCUCCAUCCUAUUUUAUUUUUUUCUCUAAAAUAGAAUAAAAAUGAAUAUGAAAUAAGAAAUGAUCCAACCCAACUUCAUAUCUCAAUUACUUUUUGUUUGUUCAUAUGGAGUGGAAAAUGGAAUAAGGUUCCAUCAAUUUUACUCAAUUUUCACUUUUACUCUAUUUUGAAAAAAAAAAUAGAAUUUUACAUUAGAGAUAUAUUACAUGUUCAAAUAAAUGAACAAAAAAGUAAAAAUGCUUCUACCAUCAAAUAAAAUAAUCAAAUCUAUAACUAAAAUCAAAGCUUGAAAUUUUGAAAACAAAAAUAUGAAACAAAACAGAAAUAUGAAAGAAACGUUUUUUCACUCUUCCCUAUUUAUUGUUCAUUAAAGUCAAGCUUUUUCAAUUGAACACAAAACUCUGUUUUGUUUACAAAUAAGAAAAAAAUUGUAAAAAUUUUCCAUUAAUUAUUGUCCAUCAAAUUUAUAAUCUUCAUAUUAAUUUAGUGAACACUAAAAUAAAACAAAAAGUUCAAAAGAAGACUUAGAAAAUAAGAU
Molecule: long non-coding RNA, 6057 nt
Organism: Brassica napus (rape)
Lineage: Eukaryota; Viridiplantae; Streptophyta; Magnoliopsida; Brassicales; Brassicaceae
Exons: 3
Source: RefSeq, a predicted model, not a curated record